UACGGAGGGUGCGAGCGUUAAUCGGAAUUACUGGGCGUAAAGCGCGCGUAGGCGGUUUGUUAAGUCAGCUGUGAAAGCCCCGGGCUCAACCUGGGAACUGCAUCCAAAACUGGCCAACUAGAGUACAGUAGAGGGUGGUGGAAUUUCCUGUGUAGCGGUGAAAUGCGUAGAUAUAGGAAGGAACACCAGUGGCGAAGGCGACCACCUGGACUGAUACUGACACUGAGGUGCGAAAGCGUGGGGAGCAAACAGG
This 253-nucleotide ribosomal RNA is filed under the name uncultured bacterium. RNAcentral describes it as "partial 16S ribosomal RNA". It matches the Rfam family "Bacterial small subunit ribosomal RNA", at positions 524 to 776 of the family's 1533-position model. The record is from RNAcentral.